This is a small nucleolar RNA of Periophthalmus magnuspinnatus, 133 nucleotides long. Lineage: Eukaryota; Metazoa; Chordata; Actinopteri; Gobiiformes; Gobiidae. The record is from RefSeq and is a predicted model, not a curated record.
AUUGAGGUUGGUCCUGAUUCGUCUUCUUGGUAGACUGCAUCAUGGGAAAUGCCUCAUAGAGAAACUCUGUAGCCUCGCUUUACUCAUGUGAUCACUAAUCAUUGAACAUGUGGGAUAAUGCUGCAGAACAGAC